GGGUAUGUGGCUUAGUGGUAGAGUGCUUGCCUAGCAUGCAUGAAGCCCUGGGUUCGAUUCUUCAUUGCCA
This 70-nucleotide transfer RNA is filed under the name Dipodomys ordii (Ord's kangaroo rat). It matches the Rfam family "tRNA". From Rfam's summary of the family: Transfer RNA (tRNA) molecules are approximately 80 nucleotides in length. Lineage: Eukaryota; Metazoa; Chordata; Mammalia; Rodentia; Heteromyidae. The record is from Rfam by way of RNAcentral.